ACCAACGCAGUUUUUCCCAUCUCUCUCGCCGUCUCCCUCUAGGGUUUUCCCCCAAUACAAUGGUGAAGUGCAGGAUCUGCCGCCAGUACUGGAGGCACCUUGUCAAGCACCACGGAUACGCAGAUCGAAGACGCCGUCAUGCGCUAGAGAGUCGCCGUUAUCAGGCAUCGUCUUCUUCUGCGUCAAUGGAUAGUUCAGCCGAACUUCAGUCACGGACCGGUCCCCAUAGACAAGCGCCUUCUUCUGCCACAAGAACGACUACCGAUUCCGAAUACCAGCAGGUACGGCUGACACUAGGUUUUAAAAUCGUUCAGUCUUAAUCUAACCAUGAAUCCACCACUUCGCCUGUGACCUGCCUCUCCAUCCUUUGAAAAACACUUUAGAUUUACACGAAUUUUCAGUUUUUUUCUGCCACAGUUACAUAUAACCUCUGUGAGUAUUUACCAAUAUUUUAAAUAGCGUGCUACAAAAAUAUAGCGAGGCCCUUCUCUAAAUGCUACACAAGUUAUAGCACGCUAAUAGCAUGCUAUAUUUCAAAAUAGCGUUUGCAAAAAAAAUCAAAUAUAUCUAGAAAUAAAGUAUUUAAGGAACUUGAUGUGGACAUAACUACCUCAGAUACGGCCAAAACUAUUGCACACAUUCAAAUUUUACAGGUGAAUUCUAGUAGUAAUUAUGAAAUAUAUUAUUUUGUUAUUAAAGACAAAAUUACUACAUCUCUAUUUAUUUUAUGCAGGAUUAACGGAGAUUUAUUCAAACCACGUGUCAAGAUACGGUUGCUUGUGCAUAUACAAAUACAUGUUUGUGUAGUAUUCACACAUCUGUACGAUACGGCUGAGCCAUGCAAUGGUGCAACGUGCAUGCAAAGAGGAGGAGGGCCAUGCCCAUAUGUGAUGCAUGCCACACGAGCAUGCAUGCAAUUCAGCCCACACACACAUGGGCCACGUGCAAUGCCGGCCACGUGAGCGCCCCAGCAUCCAAGCAACGCACGGCUGGUCCAUCGAACAACAAAUCAAGGCGGCGGCUCCCCAUCGUACUACUAUAAAUAAUUAGCCUCCGUUUAGGGUUAGACUCGGGUUUUAUUGUAUUGUCUAGCCAUCGCUACAAUUCGCAUCUACGAGACGUGUAGGACUACCGCCUUGUCAGAUUCACAGUGGAACCCCAACUUUUCAUCUAGUUCGUGUACUCAGAUUAUUAUCCGCAAUUUCAGUUGCAAUUCACCUUUGUUCUUGCUGGUUCUUCGGUUGCUUGCAGGAACUCGAACCUCGUUG
This 1268-nucleotide long non-coding RNA is filed under the name Triticum aestivum (bread wheat). RNAcentral's name for it is "long non-coding RNA (TAES_LNC016383)". Lineage: Eukaryota; Viridiplantae; Streptophyta; Magnoliopsida; Poales; Poaceae. The record is from RNAcentral.